GUCGAGAAUUUUGGGCAAUGGACGAAAGUCUGACCCAGCAAUGCCGCGUGCGGGAUGAAGGUCUUCGGAUUGUAAACCGCUGUCGGGGGACGAAAUAUGACGGUACCCCUGGAGGAAGCCACGGCUAACUACGUGCCAGCAGCCGCGGUAAUACGUAGGUGGCGAGCGUUGUUCGGAUUUAUUGGGCGUAAAGGGUCCGCAGGGGGUUGAUUAAGUCUGACGUGAAAUCUCUGAGCUCAACUCAGAAAUUGCGUUGGAGACUGGUUGACUAGAGUGUUGGAGAGGUAAUUGGAAUUCCAGGUGUAGCGGUGGAAUGCGUAGAUAUCUGGAAGAACAUCGAAAGCGAAGGCAGAUUACUGGACAACAACUGACCCUCAGGGACGAAAGCAUGGGGAGCAAACAGGAUUAGAAACCCUUGUAGUCC
Molecule: ribosomal RNA, 424 nt
Filed under: uncultured bacterium
Lineage: Bacteria
Description: partial 16S ribosomal RNA
Rfam family: Bacterial small subunit ribosomal RNA
Source: RNAcentral